Molecule: long non-coding RNA, 149 nt
Organism: Bradysia coprophila
Lineage: Eukaryota; Metazoa; Arthropoda; Insecta; Diptera; Sciaridae
Source: RefSeq, a predicted model, not a curated record
AAAAAUAGCGACGCUCCAUGCACAAACACAAAAAAAGUGACAUGACAAGUAUCUGAAAGUGACAGAUAAUGUAUGAAGAUUUCAAUUUUUGUUUUUAUCAGUGUAAGUCAAUGUAUGACACACUGUCCGAGUGUGGUAUCAGUAAUCUA